RNAcentral lists this ribosomal RNA (241 nucleotides) under uncultured bacterium. Its description in RNAcentral is "partial 16S ribosomal RNA". It matches the Rfam family "Bacterial small subunit ribosomal RNA", at positions 334 to 592 of the family's 1533-position model. The record is from RNAcentral.
UUUGCCUACGGGGCGCAGCAGUGGGGAAUAUUGCACAAUGGGGGAAACCCUGAUGCAGCGACGCCGCGUGAGUGAGGAAGUAUUUCGGUAUGUAAAGCUCUAUCAGCAGGGAAGAAAAUGACGGUACCUCACUAAGAAGCCCCGGCUAACUACGUGCCAGCAGCCGCGGUAAUACGUAUGGGGCAAGCGUUAUCCGGAUUUACUGGGUGUAAAGGGAGCGUAGACGGCGGAGCAAGUCUUC